GACGGAGGGCGCGAGCGUUAUUCGUUUUGAUUGGGUGUAAAGGGUACGUAGGCGGUUAGCUAAAUUUUUAACUAAAAGCGCAGAGAGCUCCUAUGCGACAGUUUAUUAAUUGGCUGACUUGAGAUGAAAAUGGGUUAGAGUAAUUUCUUGAGAAGGGGUAAAAUCCUGCGAUACAAGAACGAACACCAGAUAGCGGAGGCGUCUUUCUAGUUUCAUCUGACGCUAAGGUACGGAAGCUUAGGGAGCAAACAGG
RNAcentral lists this ribosomal RNA (253 nucleotides) under uncultured bacterium. Its description in RNAcentral is "partial 16S ribosomal RNA". It matches the Rfam family "Bacterial small subunit ribosomal RNA", at positions 524 to 776 of the family's 1533-position model. The record is from RNAcentral.